UCCAUCAACUUUAAUUGCUUGUUUUAGGUCAAAUACCCUGUUUCUCUGAUUUGCAUAUCUCGUUCCAUGUGCUGGUACAGUUUGGUACAAAGAGUCAUGCCGAAUGCGCUAGGUUCUCACCAGAUGGACAGUUAGUUUCUUGUAUCGUCUUCUGUUGAUGGUUUUUUUCGAGGUAUGGGAUUACUUGCAUAAGUGGAAAGCUGAAGAAGGAUUUGCGAUAUCACUGCAUCCAGUGAAGGUCUGGGAUUCAAAGACGACAGAUUGUCUACAAACGUUCAAGCCACCACCUUCACUAAGAGAAACUGUAGUGCUUCAGCUAUCUAUCAAACCGGUGGACUUGAGCAUUUUAUGAUGGUGCAUGAGAAAGAUGUGAUAGGGCUUAUCACACCACCCACAUAGAAACCUCAUCGCUACCUAUAGUGCAGAUUGAGUUGUGGAAACCCUGAGCUGCCUCAAACCAGUAGGAUAUGUUAUACUAAAAUGAGACUCCGAAGGAUCAUUUAUUUCGUUAUCCUAAUAACCAGCAACAUAGGAAUUUUAUGUACACUGUUUAUUUGAUAUUUUUUCCUGAAAAUGGUUAAAUCUAUGACUUUGUUUUGACUGAGGAUGAUCGAGAAUCCUUGAAUGCUGAAAAGUGAUAAAUCUCAUAAACUAGGCCAAGUGAUAGACGAGUCUCUCUCUCUAUGUCAUGGUUCUGAUCUUUUUCUAUUACAAGAAGUUGCAAUUGAACUAGCAAAGAUAAUGAUCCUGGUGAUGAUGAGUAGCGUUGAUGUUAUAAUCUAGGAGAGGUGCAUCAACAUGAUGAUUCAUAUCAGGUAAAAACAUUUCUCUGUUCAGCUUCUGGCUGUUCUUCAUCUUGUACACUAACAUAACAGUUCCUGAUCUGAUUCUAGGUCGUUUCCUUCUCCGGUGCUUCUCUUACUGGCUGUGAAGUGCCUGUCGGUUGUUCUUUCUGUACAUUUCUUCUACUGUGUCUGUCUUUAGACGAAACCGUACCUGAAGCCUCCUCCCUCCCAUCAGCAUCAUAGUACUUAGCAAUCGCAGCAGGACCGUUCUUGUCGAACUUCACCUUCUCUUUCCACCAAGCCUCUUAUGCUGUCGGAGGAGCCACUCACGGGCUUUCCCUUCUCGGGUAUGAUACCGUACACGAAUAACAAUUUUAAAAAAGAUAUUUGUUUGAAAACUUAGAUAACAAUUUUAAAAAGAUGUUUAUUUGAUAACAGUUUAUAUGGUGCCAACAUCGUGACGAGGUCUAAUUGAUUUUAGCAAAAUAUAAUGGGGUCAAACAAUACGUUCUGUCUUAAUUAUUCUUGUUAUGCAUUCGAAUUUAUCUGUUUAUUUGUAUAUAUUAUUAACACUGAGUACAAAUUAUGUUCUGAUUUGUUACUGGGUUUGAGAAUUUCACUUGAACAUUUGCAAUCACAGUCUUCUUCCAUGCAAGGGGCAAAGCCGCAGAGGGAGAUUAUCUCUCCAUCCCUAUUCAACAAGAGAGCAAUAUAGAUCCCGAUUUAUCAGACUGGUGCCAACAUAUAGAAGAAAAUAAAAAAGGAUUAUGUGAAGCCUCGGACUUUGCAGACUUCCAUCAGCUUCCUCUGCGCUUGGUCAGAGAUCUUCUUAGGCUGUCUCCUUCUUGAUUAUGAAAUCGUCUGGGAGGAACCGAGGAACCCUGCAAAGAAUUAACAGUUGCGUUAAAUCAAACAUAAUAUGAUCACUUUGAAAAGUUGAAAGUAAGACAAAAACCCUCAAAAUCUCAAGGUUAAUAUGUGUUAUUCUUUGUU
Long non-coding RNA from Raphanus sativus (radish), 1778 nucleotides. RefSeq lists it as uncharacterized. The record is from RefSeq and is a predicted model, not a curated record. Lineage: Eukaryota; Viridiplantae; Streptophyta; Magnoliopsida; Brassicales; Brassicaceae. The transcript is spliced from 5 exons.